RNAcentral lists this ribosomal RNA (468 nucleotides) under uncultured bacterium. Its description in RNAcentral is "bacterial SSU rRNA". It matches the Rfam family "Bacterial small subunit ribosomal RNA", at positions 328 to 793 of the family's 1533-position model. The record is from RNAcentral.
UUCCCAGACUCCUACGGGAGGCAGCAGUGAGGAAUAUUGGUCAAUGGCCGGAAGGCUGAACCAGCCAAGUCGCGUGAGGGAAUAAGGCCCUAUGGGUCGUAAACCUCUUUUGUCAGGGAGCAAAGGCGUCCACGAGUGGACGAAAGGAGAGUACCUGAAGAAAAAGCAUCGGCUAACUCCGUGCCAGCAGCCGCGGUAAUACGGAGGAUGCGAGCGUUAUCCGGAUUUAUUGGGUUUAAAGGGUGCGUAGGCGGAGUGUCAAGUCAGCGGUAAAAUUUCGGGGCUCAACCCCGUCGUGCCGUUGAAACUGGCAGUCUCGAGUUGGAGAGAAGUAUGCGGAAUGCGCGGUGUAGCGGUGAAAUGCAUAGAUAUCGCGCAGAACUCCGAUUGCGAAGGCAGCAUGCCGGCUCCACACUGACGCUGAGGCACGAAAGCGUGGGUAUCGAACAGGAUUAGAUACCCUCGUAC